AGGGCCGGGGCUCAGUGGUAGAGUGCUCACCUCACAUGUGUGAGGCAGUGGGUUCAAUCCUCAGCACUA
RNAcentral lists this transfer RNA (69 nucleotides) under Marmota monax (woodchuck). Its description in RNAcentral is "tRNA.Val". The record is from RNAcentral. Lineage: Eukaryota; Metazoa; Chordata; Mammalia; Rodentia; Sciuridae.